Molecule: ribosomal RNA, 676 nt
Filed under: bacterium
Lineage: Bacteria
Description: bacterial SSU rRNA
Rfam family: Bacterial small subunit ribosomal RNA
Source: RNAcentral
CCUAUCAUGCAGUCGAACGCUUCUUUCCUCCCGAGUGCUUGCACUCAAUUGGAAAGAGGAGGGAGGACGGGUGAGUAACACGUGGGUAACCUACCCAUCAGAGGGGGAUAACACUUGGAAACAGGUGCUAAUACCGCAUAACAGUUUAUGCCGCAUGGCAUAAGAGUGAAAGGCGCUUUCGGGUGUCGCUGAUGGAUGGACCCGCGGUGCAUUAGCUAGUUGGUGAGGUAACGGCUCACCAAGGCCACGAUGCAUAGCCGACCUGAGAGGGUGAUCGGCCACACUGGGACUGAGACACGGCCCAGACUCCUACGGGAGGCAGCAGUAGGGAAUCUUCGGCAAUGGACGAAAGUCUGACCGAGCAACGCCGCGUGAGUGAAGAAGGUUUUCGGAUCGUAAAACUCUGUUGUUAGAGAAGAACAAGGACGUUAGUAACUGAACGUCCCCUGACGGUAUCUAACCAGAAAGCCACGGCUAACUACGUGCCAGCAGCCGCGGUAAUACGUAGGUGGCAAGCGUUGUCCGGAUUUAUUGGGCGUAAAGCGAGCGCAGGCGGUUUCUUAAGUCUGAUGUGAAAGCCCCCGGCUCAACCGGGGAGGGUCAUUGGAAACUGGGAGACUUGAGUGCAGAAGAGGAGAGUGGAAUUCCAUGUGUAGCGGUGAAAUGCGUAGAUAUA